UACGUAGGGUGCGAGCGUUAAUCGGAAAUUACUGGGCGUAAAGCGUGCGCAGGCGGCUUGCCAAGUCAGAUGUGAAAGCCCCGGGCUCAACCCGGGAACGGCGUUUGAAACUGGCAGGCUAGAGUUUGGCAGAGGGGGUGGAAUUCCGACGUGUAGCAGUGAAAUGCGUAGAGAGUGUGGAGGAACACCGAUGGCGAAGGCAGCCCCUGGGCCAAAACUGACGCUCAGGCACGAAAGCGUGGGGAGCAAACAGG
This 254-nucleotide ribosomal RNA is filed under the name uncultured bacterium. Its description in RNAcentral is "partial 16S ribosomal RNA". It matches the Rfam family "Bacterial small subunit ribosomal RNA", at positions 524 to 776 of the family's 1533-position model. The record is from RNAcentral.